GACGAACGCUGGCGGCGUGCCUAAUACAUGCAAGUCGAACGCAGUGGGGACGGUUGCGUAACACGUGGGUAACCUCCCAUCAGAGGGGAUAACACUUGGAAACAGGUGCUAAACCGAUACUGAUGGCUGAACCCGCGGUGCAUUAGCUAGUUGGGGAGGUAACGGCUCACCAAGGCCACGAUGCAGAGCCGAACGGAGAGGGGGAUAGGCCACACGGGGACUGAGACACGGCCCAGACGCCUACGGGAGGCAGAAGUAGGGAAUCUGAGGAAAUGGACGAAAGUCUGACCGAGCAACGCCGCGUGAGUGAAGAAGGUUUUCGGAUCGUAAAACUCUGUUGUUAGAGAAGCGGUAUCUAACCAGAAAGCCAAGGCUAACUACGUGCCAGCAGCCGCGGUAAUUC
Molecule: ribosomal RNA, 403 nt
Filed under: uncultured bacterium
Lineage: Bacteria
Description: partial 16S ribosomal RNA
Rfam family: Bacterial small subunit ribosomal RNA
Source: RNAcentral